Molecule: long non-coding RNA, 635 nt
Filed under: Linum usitatissimum (flax)
Lineage: Eukaryota; Viridiplantae; Streptophyta; Magnoliopsida; Malpighiales; Linaceae
Description: long non-coding RNA (LUSI_LNC004701)
Source: RNAcentral
AUUCUCUGCCUGUAAAAAUAGGUCUCAAGUCUCCGAAUCCGCUGUCGAGCAUGUAAACGGGUACGGUUUAGGAACAUAACUCACAGCAUGAAAUCAAGGAACAAAAUCUCACGGCUUCCCUCGUCUCACAUGUUUCGCGAGACUGACUUUAAAAUCUUUUCCGCCAAUAAACCGCCGUAGAAGAAAGAGCUUGUCAGUUUUUUGAAUCGUUACGCCGGAAUCAUAUCAACAUGGAGGAGGGUCGAUCUUACCUGUCACAACCGGCGGAUGGCCUAGGUCGUCGGUGCCGUUCUCGCAAGUUCUUCCCGGCGGCGGCUUUUCAAAAACUCAAGAUUCUUCAAAAUCCCAAUUUUGGUUCCUAAAGAGAGAAAGUGGCUCCAAUGUCGUCGGUUUACAAAAUAAAAAACCCUGAUUUCCAAAAUGAAUUAUCUCCUACACGUGAUUGGUUGUUGUGUUGUGUUGUGUUGUGUUGCUGAUAUUAUGGGGUUCCCCUCCGGGUGUGUAUGAGAUCUGGUUAUCCAAAAUAUGAAGGGGUAAGGUGUUGUGUUGCCGACAUUCUAGGGGCUCCCCUCUGGUGCGAGGAAAACAUGUUGGAAAUCAAAGUUUUUGUCUUUGGAGGGACGGUGAAUCUUCUC